GAUGAAGAACGUAGCGAAAUGCGAUAAGUAAUGUGAAUUGCAGAAUUCAGUGAAUCAUCGAAUCUUUGAACGCACAUUGCGCCCCUUGGUAUUCCGAGGGGCAUGCCUGUUCGAGCGUCAUUAUAACCCCUCAAGCUCAGCUUGGUGUUGGGGCCUGCUGCACUGGCAGCCCUUAAAAUCAGUGGCGGCGCCAUCUGGCUCUAAGCGUAGUAAUUCUUCUCGCUAUGGAGUCCUGGUGAUGCUUGCCAUCAACCCCCAAUUUUUCUAUGGUUGACCUCGGAUCAGGUAGGGAUACCCGCUGAACUUAAGCAUAUCAAUAAGCGGAGGA
This 328-nucleotide unclassified non-coding RNA is filed under the name soil metagenome. Its description in RNAcentral is "partial contains 5.8S ribosomal RNA, internal transcribed spacer 2, and large subunit ribosomal RNA". The stretch from base 1 to 120 matches the Rfam family "5.8S ribosomal RNA", at positions 35 to 154 of the family's 154-position model. The record is from RNAcentral.